This is a non-coding RNA of Rattus norvegicus (Norway rat), 415 nucleotides long. The record is from RefSeq and is a predicted model, not a curated record. Lineage: Eukaryota; Metazoa; Chordata; Mammalia; Rodentia; Muridae.
AGUAGCUGUGUCACAGUGGGCAUGGGCUAUAAUAUCCUAGUCCUAGCUGCCUGGAAGUCAGUAUCCUGCUAGCAGCCUUCAGAUGACGAUGUAGAACUCUCAGCUCCUCCUGCACCAUGCCUGUCUGGAUGCUGCCAUGUUCCUGCCCUGCUGAUAAUGGACUGAGCCUCUGAUCCUGAUCUCCGCGGCUACCUCACGCUCACAGCCAGCCUUCAAACAGCAUAGCAGAUGUAGCCAGCACUUGAAAUCCUGCAGGCCGAAGGGCUGUGUGAAGCCACUUGACAGCAUCCAGGAGUUUUCAAGAAGGUUCUGAGGAACAGAGACUUCAGUUAGAGUGUGUCCUGAUGUGUGUCUCACACAAGGAAGAACUGUGAACAGUCCUUAACAAAUCCUAUGGGGACUUGGGUUCUCUGUG